RNAcentral lists this ribosomal RNA (352 nucleotides) under uncultured bacterium. Its description in RNAcentral is "bacterial SSU rRNA". It matches the Rfam family "Bacterial small subunit ribosomal RNA", at positions 335 to 679 of the family's 1533-position model. The record is from RNAcentral.
ACUCCUACGGGAGGCAGCAGUGGGAAUUUUGGAUCAAUGGACGCAAGUCUGAUCCAGCCAUGCCGCGUGCGGGAAGAAGGCCUUCGGGUUGUAAACCGCUUUUGUCAGGGAAGAAAAGGUUCCUUCUAAUAAAGGGACUCAUGACGGUACCUGAAGAAUAAGCACCGGCUAAACUACGUGCCAGCAGCCGCGGUAAUACGUAGGGUGCAAGCGUUAAUCGGAAUUACUGGGCGUAAAGCGUGCGCAGGCGGUUGUGCAAGACAGGUGUGAAAUCCCCGGCGUUAACCUGGGAACUGCACUUGUGACUGCACGGCUAGAGUACGGUAGAGGGGGAUGGAAUUCCACGUGUAGC